RNAcentral lists this ribosomal RNA (789 nucleotides) under uncultured euryarchaeote. RNAcentral describes it as "bacterial SSU rRNA". It matches the Rfam family "Archaeal small subunit ribosomal RNA", at positions 85 to 878 of the family's 1478-position model. Lineage: Archaea; Methanobacteriati; Methanobacteriota. The record is from RNAcentral.
ACGGCUCAGUAACACGUGGAUAACUGCCCUAUGCUCUGGGAUAACCUUGGGAAACUGAGAAUAAUACCGGAUAGAUCACAACGCCUGGAACGGUGUGUGGUUGAAAGGUUACGGCAUAGGAUGGGUCUGCGGCGUAUCAGGUCGUAGGGGGUGUAAUGGACCUCCUAGCCAUCGACGCGUACGGGUGUUGGGAGACAUAGCCCGGAGACGGAUUCUGAGACACGAAUCCAGACCCCACGGGGUGCAGCAGGCGCGAAAACUUCACACUGCAGGAAACUGCGAUGAGGGAACUCCAAGUGACUACACAUUUGUGUAGCUCUUUUCUUAACUAUUAAUCGGUUUUGGAAUAAGGGCUGGGAAAGACCGGUGCCAGCCGCCGCGGUAAUACCGGCAGCUCGAGUGGUCGUCGCUUUUAUUGGGCCUAAAACGUCCGUAGCCGGUUUGGUAAAUCUGUGGGUAAAUCAACUAGCUUAACUAGUUGAAUUCUGCAGAGACUGCCAGACUAGGAACCGGGAGAGGUGUGGGGUACUCAAGGGGUAGGGGUAAAAUCCUGUCAUCCUUUGAGGACCACCAGUUGCGAAGGCGCCACACUAGAACGGAUUCGACGGUCAGGGACGAAGCCUAGGGGCACGAACCGGAUUAGAUACCCGGGUAGCCCUAGGUGUAAACGCUGUGAACUUGGUGUCGGGAGUCCGCAAUGGGCCCCCGGUGCCGGAGUGAAGAUGUUAAGUUCACUGCCUGGGGAGUACGGUCGCAAGGCUGAGACUUAGAGGAAUUGGCGGGGGAGCA